RNAcentral lists this ribosomal RNA (253 nucleotides) under uncultured bacterium. RNAcentral's name for it is "partial 16S ribosomal RNA". It matches the Rfam family "Bacterial small subunit ribosomal RNA", at positions 524 to 776 of the family's 1533-position model. The record is from RNAcentral.
UACGUAGGAUGCAAGCGUUGUCCGGAUUUACUGGGCGUAAAGCGCGCGCAGGCGGCACAUUAAGCAAGGUGUGAAAUAUCCCGGCUCAACCGGGAGGGUGCACUUUAGACUGAUGAGCUUGAGGUCGGUAGAGGGGGGUGGAAUUGCUGGUGUAGCGGUGAAAUGCGUAGAGAUCAGCAGGAACACCCGUGGCGAAGGCGGCCCCCUGGGCCGUACCUGACGCUGAGGCGCGAAGGCUAGGGGAGCGAACGGG